UUGACCGGUGGUUUUUAAUUGGGAGCUACUCGCACUGAUUCGUCUUUGCCGAGUUAAUGGCAUAUCCCUUCCACCGAUCUCACUUACCUGGCCGACAUGUUCAAUCACAUUUUGAUUGGAUCACUUAAUGAUUCGAGUUAGCCCAUGCCUAUAAGGAAAAUCAGUUUGACUGAUUUAGGUGCCUCCUUAACCGGUUUGAGUCUAAUCUGAUUUGGUGAAGUCAGUGGAAGAAAUUAGACUAACCGGAUCUUCUUAUCUAUCC
Molecule: long non-coding RNA, 262 nt
Filed under: Phoenix dactylifera (date palm)
Lineage: Eukaryota; Viridiplantae; Streptophyta; Magnoliopsida; Arecales; Arecaceae
Description: long non-coding RNA (PDAC_LNC008077)
Source: RNAcentral